RNAcentral lists this ribosomal RNA (468 nucleotides) under uncultured bacterium. RNAcentral describes it as "partial 16S ribosomal RNA". It matches the Rfam family "Bacterial small subunit ribosomal RNA", at positions 28 to 507 of the family's 1533-position model. The record is from RNAcentral.
GACGAACGCUGGCGGCGUGCUUAACACAUGCCAGUCGAACGGAAAGGCCCUGCUUUUGUGGGGUGCUCGAGUGGCGAACGGGUGAGUAACACGUGAGUAACCUGCCCUUGUCUUUGGGAUAACUUCAGGAAACUGGGGCUAAUACCGGAUAGGAGCUCCUGCUGCAUGGUGGGGGUUGGAAAGUUUCGGCGGUUGGGGAUGGACUCGCGGCUUAUCAGCUUGUUGGUGGGGUAGUGGCUUACCAAGGCUUUGACGGGUAGCCGGCCUGAGAGGGUGACCGGCCACAUUGGGACUGAGAUACGGCCCAGACUCCUACGGGAGGCAGCAGUGGGGAAUAUUGCACAAUGGGCGGAAGCCUGAUGCAGCAACGCCGCGUGCGGGAUGACGGCCUUCGGGUUGUAAACCGCUUUCGCCUGUGACGAAGCGUGAGUGACGGUAAUGGGUAAAGAAGCACCGGCUAACUACGUG